RNAcentral lists this ribosomal RNA (451 nucleotides) under uncultured bacterium. Its description in RNAcentral is "SSU rRNA". It matches the Rfam family "Bacterial small subunit ribosomal RNA", at positions 26 to 518 of the family's 1533-position model. The record is from RNAcentral.
AGGAUGAACGCUGGCGGUCUGCUUAACACAUGCAAGUCGAACGGAGUAGCAAUACUUAGUGGCGGACGGGUGAGUAACGCGUGAGAAUCUACCUUCAGGACGGAGACAACAGUUGGAAACGACUGCUAACCCCCCGAUGUACUGAAAAAGGCAAAUAUUUAUAGCCUGAAGAAGAGCUCGCGUCCGAUUAGCUAGUUGGAGAGGUAAAAGCUCACCAAGGCGACGAUCGGUAGCUGGUCUGAGAGGACGAUCAGCCACACUGGGACUGAGACACGGCCCAGACUCCUACGGGAGGCAGCAGUGGGGAAUUUUCCGCAAUGGGCGAAAGCCUGACGGAGCAAGACCGCGUGGGGGAAGAAGGCUCGUUGGGUUGUAAACCCCUUUUCUCUGGGAAGAACACAAUGACGGUACCAGAGGAAUCAGCAUCGGCUAACUCCGCGCCAGCAGCCGC